AAGGGAAAGGAAAAUAGAGGAAGGACUAGACAUUAUAGCUUUGCUCUGCCACCAUGGUCAGAGGCAGCAGUGCUUCUGAACAGCAGCUGCAGGAGAGGAGAGUGUUCUUGUGCUUGGGUCCUGCCUGAGGAAUUCCCACAGGCUUCAGGUUGGCCACUGUGAGAACAUGGACUAGAUGGGCCAUUGGCUUUUCUCAUGAAUGUAUGAAGGCACAAGUGAGAGAAAGAAGAAACUUCACUAUGUGAGCAGACUUGCCCUGUACUGGAUCUCAUCCACUAUCUGGGUGCUCUGUUUUAUGUAUUCAUUUCUUUUUAAAAUAAAUUGUUAAUUGAAUUUACAAAUCCUUCCCAAUGCCACUUGCUACCAUGUACAGUGGCAAUUUAAUUAUUGCUAUAAAGUAGACAGACACCCACCCACUUAUUCCCAAAUUGAAUUGCUCAGUAUCGCUCUGUAAUACAACACUAAUUCAAAUGUGAAGAAAGGUUUCAGAAGGUUACAAAACUAGAAAGAGUUUUAAAAAUAGAUCAAAUAUUCUAGUUGUGUGCAGUUUUGUUUAUUGGAAAUAACUCAGUUUGUUUUAUUGUAUCAUUUGUUACUGGACACUGGGCUCCAAUAAACACUUUAAUAAACAUCAGAUCUUGGGAACUCAUAAUCUCUGGUUAUGUCUUUACAAAAAUGUGUGUUAGUGUUAUUCACCCCUGUAUCCUGACUAAAAAUUAUAUACCUGGAAAUUAUAAUUUUCCCAUAUCUUGUGGGAGGGACACAUUUCUUGUGAAAGCACAGGCAUAGCAGUAUGGCGCUGGUUUAAUCCAAUAAACUUGACACUCAAAGUGCUACAGAUAUUCGUUCUUCUGACAUUUCUUUCAUUCCCGGUUACAAGGUUAGCUCCAUGUGGAGCAAAAGGGUCAGCAGAAGACUCACAAAACAGGCAAUUUCAUUGUAUUAUCCAUGGGAUUUCUUUCUACAUAAUUUAAGCUGUUUGCAAAAUGACAGGGCCCAGCCUGUGUUCCCAACAGAUGAAAUGAGGGCCAUUUCAACCCUGCUCCUUCUCUUCUCUUUUCCUUUCCGCUGCUAUUUGUUUCAGACCUUUUUGUGGUGUUCUUCCCGGGGCAUCUUACCCAUAGAGGCUAGUGGUGCAGGGCGCCAGGGCGCCAAGUUCUGGAGGGCGCCAAGGAAGAGGCGGAGGCUGGACGCAGGGCCUCCCAGCAUCCGCUCGCUGCCCUCGCCCGCCUCCGCCAUGCUGCGCCGAAGCAGCGCUGUGCCCAGAGCCUCCGUCUGCCAUGGCCACCAUGGCAUGAAGCGGCCAGCCUGUGCCUCUUCCCCGCCGGAGGAGCUGCCCUCCAGCCACUGCCUACCUCCUCCAGCCCUGCCGGCAGCGCCGCCCAUCCUAAAAAACUCUGGGAAAAGGGGGGCGCGCACUGGAGAGAGCUUUGCACCAUGGUGCCGGAUAUGCUUAAGACGGCCCUGGUUCCUCCCCACUGCUUUAACAUUAAUGUCUUAGCGUUAGACCAAACAGCUAUGGUUCCUUAUGUUACGGCAUGUGAAAUAUCUGGUUAUCUUUUCUGGUGGAUGGCUCCCUCAUCAUUUUCGCCUGGCUGCGUUGUGGGGAGCGGCUCUGCUGUCUAAUCAGCACUGGCAGGAGGUGUGGCUGUGGGAAAUUUAAACUGCGGUACAGCUUGGGACCAUCCUUCGCCGGAUUUCCUUUUUUUUUUUUAAAUAAGAUAUUUAUUAAAGUUUCAACAUAUUACAAAAAUAAGAGAAAAAAGUAAAAGAGAAAAAAAAGAACAAAAAUGAAAAUACAAAGUAAAAACAAUUAAAAACAAAUCAGUCUUUCCAUAUCUUAUCUUUCAUUUGCUUGUUUCCCUGACCUCCUCACACCUCCCUUUUUUGUAUUCCAGUUCAAUUAGUUAGUUCAGCAAUUCCUUUCCCUCUUUGAUUUUAUCUUAAUCUUUUAUCUUAAUAUAUUAUAACUUUAAAUUAUCACCUGUUAACAAUCCAUUUUUACAUAUUCCUUUAUAACAUUGCUGCUAAAAACCACUUAACUUCUAUCCAACAUCAUUCUAACAUUCAUUAAUUUUGCAGUAUUUCUGUAAAUAGUUUUAAAAUUUCUUCCAAUCUUCUUCCACCGACUCUUCUCCCUGGUCUCGGAUUCUGCCAGUCAUUUCCGCCAGUUCCAUAUAGUCCAUCACCUUCAUCUGCCAUUCUUCCAGUGUGGGUAAAUCUUGUGUCUUCCAAUAUUUUGCGAUAAGUAUUCUUGCUGCUGUUGUGGCAUACAUAAAAAAAAUUCUAUCCUUCUUUGGCACCAAUUGGCCGACUAUGCCCAGGAGAAAGGCCUCUGGUUUCUUCAAGAAGGUAUAUUUAAAUACCUUUUUCAUUUCAUUAUAGAUCAUCUCCCAGAAAGCCUUAAUCCUUGGGCACGUCCACCAAAGGUGAAAGAAUGUACCUUCAGUUUCUUUACAUUUCCAACAUUUAUUAUCGGGCAAAUGAUAGAUUUUUGCAAGCUUGGCUGGAGUCAUGUACCACCUGUAUAUCAUUUUCAUAAUAUUCUCUCUUAAGGCAUUACAUGCCGUAAACUUCAUACCUGUGGUCCAUAACUGUUCCCAGUCAGCCAUCAUUAUGUUAUGUCCAACAUCUUGUGCCCAUUUAAUCAUAGCAGAUUUCACCGUUUCAUCCUGAGUGUUCCAUUUCAACAGCAGGUUAUACAUCUUUGACAAAAUCUUGGUUUUAGGGUCUAACAGUUCUGUUUCCAAUUUUGAUUUUUCCACCUGGAAGCCAAUUUUCUUAUCCAAAUUAUAUGCCUCCAUUAUCUGAUAAUAAUGAAGCCAAUCUCGCACUUUGUCUUUUAGUUUUUCAAAACUCUGCAGUUCAUCCUUCGCCGGAUUUCCUACACACCUGCCCUCUUUUUAUGCUUUGCUCUGACACAACCUUGCUAUGGACAAAUGUUGGCCACCAUAUUUUGGGGACCGGGCAGGAAUUUUUUCUGCUUGGCAAAUUGGCUCCUGCCAUGUGGUUUUUGCCUACUUUGUAGCAAUCAUCACAACUUUGUAAGGUUAGGCAUUGGGUAAGCCUUUGUUUGGAUAGAGGGGAAGUUGUAGCCUCUGUCUGCCCCUCCUCCUUAAAGGGAUCUGUUAAAGGGAUCUGGGUUGUGUGUAUUCUGUCGGAUGCCCGGACGUGGGCUAGGGCUAUGCCACAACCCCUAUGGGGAUGCCUUGGGAUGCCCCUAUUUGAUGUAAGCCAUAAAGCUCCCCCUAUUGGUGGUUUAUCCUUAGUUGGACUCCUUGCAAUGGGCGGGAGUCAAGGUAUAGUCUGGCUUCACCCAAUGCCUAAGCCAAACUGCUCACAUCUGUAACCAAUAAGCUUGUGGCCUAUUCAAAACCAUAAACCAAAAUCCACUUUUCUGUGUGUUUAUUUAUCCACUAGGGAACAGUGGGUCAUGGGGCCUUGGCACACAAGUGAUUGUUCCUAUCCAGUAAAGGAUCUUACUUGUAUAGAAGCAGAUCUUUCUGAAUGCAUAUCCUUAGUUGGAUGGGAUUCAAAUAGCUGCUGUAUGCAUAGAUCCCCAGCCUGGGGGUGUGCACUAAUCAGCUGUUUGGAAUGAUAAUUGGGAUGUGUGUGUCUGCGCAGAUUUAGUACUUUUACUGCACUGCGAAACAGAUGAUUGGAGCUACUCAGAGUAUCUCACUACACAACACACAUAGGCAGUUUGGUAUGCUGGGGAGGCAAUCCCUGCUCAGUCAUGAAGGUAACUACUGUUCUUUGGGCAUUCACCCUCUUAGAGUUGCUGGGAGGCUAAAUGAGACAGGAGUGGAAGCCACUUUGCACUUGAACAGUAGAAAUUUAAUGCAGAUUAGAAUAAUUACAAAGUCAUUAAGCAGUGCUUCCCACAACCUCUAAACAGAAACUCUUAAGAGGCUCUUCUGUUUCCAAACAACAAAACCGCCCUGUUCCCAGGUGCAGUAAAAACAUCCCUUAAUAAAUGUUUCUUUAAAAUCUGUUAACCCAGUGGUUUUCAGCCAGUGUGCCCUGGCACCUUGGGGUGCCUUGAAUGAUGGUCAGGCGUGCUGUGGGCAACACUGGCCUCCCUCUUUCCUUUCCUCCCUCCUCUGAUGCCUUCUUGCACCUCUGCCUCCCAAAGGCUUGUACAGCUGUUGGUUGUAGCAGACCUGGCUACAAGCUCCUUAGGCAAAUGCCGCCUCUGGGGCUGGUCAGGGGGUACUGGCUGCCAGGAGCUGAAGCAGGCUUGUAGUAAGCAAGCAAGCAAGCAGGUGAGGGGAGCCCAGCCAACCAGUCCACCAGCCCUUGCAGUUGGGAACAGACAGACAAGUCCUAGGACCCCGUUGGGCAGUGUGAGGAGGGACCUCUCUUUGGGGUGGGAGGGGGGGAGCUCAGAGUCCAGGGGUGGCAGCAGUGGCUGCCCGGAGGGCUCCCAAGAAGAGGGGAGGGGAGAGGAGGCUGAGGGAACACUUCACAAGAGAGGGUGUUUGAAAUGAGAUGAAAAGCUGCCAGCUCUAUCGGCAAAGGGUGAUAUAGCUGGGCUCCUGAACCCCACGGAGGUGCUGCAGAAACAAUGUAGUUGGUCAAGGGAGCCGUGGACUCAAAAAGGUUGAAAACCUCUGUUUUAACCAGUUAGACCAACCCUAGGUCUUCCUUCUGCAUUUUUAAAUCUUAGAAAGAGAUAGAAUAAGAGGAAAGGAGAUAACAGUUCAGGCUUUGCCUUUUCAUUUUCAGCAAACACAUGACAGGGGCAGUGAUCAGUGCACUAACUCUGCCCCCCUUUGUGUUGUUUCCUUCAAAACAGUGGCAGGCAACCUUGUCAAGUGGAAAGCCCCCCUCAUGCAUUUUAGAACCUGUGUUUUCCAGGCUUCUAGAAUGUCUGAGAAUUCUCCAUGAAUACAGGAGACUCCCUGCUUCAUGCAGUCACCUUUCAGGAGUUGGAGGGCAAUGGAAACUCUGAGGAGGAGGAGCAAAUCUAGGGUAUUGGUCCUCAAUGAUCCCCCUUAUGUGCUUGCAGAACGGUAAAAGGGAACAACCAAAAUAAUUUAAGACUAAACACAGAUUAUUUUAAUUCCAGGUGCAGCACAUGGCUCCAGAUUUCAAAGGCCUCAUGGAGUAAAUGACAUUGAACAAAGACGCGAAGCUUGUUUCCAAUAACACUGUCCAAAGAUUUCCUUUUAUUGAGUAAACAGCUUCACAGGCCCCUACAUGGGAAGAUAUCAAGAUUCUCUUAAAGGUUUCAACAGCAUACCAACUCCUUUCAAGCACUUUAAAAAAAAUAAAAAAAUAACCCCCUUCAGUAUGAAAGCUUCAAAGGAAAAGAGCUGAGCAGAAAGGAGAAAAGAACAGCUGGGAGAGAGGGCUGGUUACAAAGAGAAUAAUAAUAGGUAUAAAUGGCUUCUUAGAUGAAUCAGAAAUGAUAACGCAUGCAGCACAGAUAUAACAGAAAUUCCAGAAUGGUUAUUGGGGAUUGAAGCAGCUGAGGCAAUUGACUUAAAAACUGAAAAUAGUUUGGUACUCUGGCAGCAAUGAGACAAGAAGAGGGAUUCUUUCGCUCGUUCAGGCUCUUUUUCCUGAUAGUUAAAAAAGAGCAGAAGACAGUAGGUUUUGUGCAGUUGAGAACUUCAAUCAUGGUGGAGCUUUCAGCACGUGUGUGAAAGGAAUAUCUUGCUCCAUAGCCAUCCCCUGAUCAGAAUUGGCAAGAAGCCUGUAUUAAUCGGAAACAGAGUAGACUCUGUGAACUGUGGCACAUGGGAUCACCCAGUGAAUUACUUCUUAAUGGCCUAAUGGACAAAGGGUCUGUGACUUUAAGAGGUGCAUGGCAAACUUAAAUCAGUAGGCCAACUCUACCCGUUGAUAGUUACUUUGGUCCACCAGCUGUUGCUGAGUUCUCUGGCCCUUGGCUGUGCUUGCUGGGCUGAUGAGAGAGUUGUCGUUCAACAACAUCUGGAGGGCCAAAGCGUCCACACUCUUGACAUAGCUACUAAAUGCACCAUAACUGGUGGUAACCCUGUCUCUGGCCUUCUGUGUAGAUAAACUGAAGAAUAUGAGAAUGAUUACAUUUACUCUGGGCUUUGUGUGAUAAAUCAGCACACCGAAACUUGAAAAAGGUAUCCUGGAGACUUUUUCUAAAUAGCUAUUAACAGUAUCGAUAGUCUGCUUCAAUAAUGAAGAUUCAAGAAUAGCCUCAAAUAUGCAUUUAACCCCCUGGUUAACAAUAAAAUUGACUGAGAAACCAUAUGAAGAAACUGCACAGAAGUGUUAAGGGCCAAUUACCACACCUUCUCUCCUUACCACAAUCUAUAUAGCCAAGGCUAUUUUCCUGAUCUUUUGUUUCCUACUUGAAUACCCACACAGAAAACAAGGUCUAGACUGGUCAAUGGUCCACCAUCACCCAAUUCGUAAUGUAAAGUAAACAGAAAUAAAGGAGCAUUUGCAAA
Podarcis lilfordi (Lilford's wall lizard) is the source of this 6434-nucleotide non-coding RNA. The record is from the annotation of a GenBank genome assembly. Lineage: Eukaryota; Metazoa; Chordata; Lepidosauria; Squamata; Lacertidae.